AGGCAGCAGUGGGGAAUAUUGCGCAAUGGAGGAAACUCUGACGCAGCGACGCCGCGUGAAGGAUGAAGGCCCUCUGGGUUGUAAACUUCUGUAGAGAGGGAAGAAUGUCUCGCUUCGCGGGAUUGACGGUACCUCUAAAGUAAGCAUCGGCUAACUACGUGCCAGCAGCCGCGGUAAUACGUAGGAUGCUAGCGUUGUCCGGAAUCACUGGGUGUAAAGGGAGCGCAGGCGGAUUUUCAAGUCGGUGGUGAAAUCUUACAGCUUAACUGUAAAAUUGCCGCCGAUACUGUUUAUCUUGAGUAUGGAAGAGGGCGAUAGAAUUCAUGGUGUAGCGGUGAAAUGCGUAGAUAUCAUGAAGAAUACCGGUAGCGAAGGCGGUCGCCUGGUCCAUUACUGACGCUCAUGCUCGAAAGUGUGGGGAGCAAACAGGAUUAGAUACCCUGGUAGUCCACACCCUAAACGAUGAAUACUCGAUGUUGGAUCGCAAGGUUCAGCGUCUAAGCUAACGCAUUAAGUAUUCCACCUGGGGAGUACGAUCGCAAGGUUGAAACUCAAAGGAAUUGACGGGGGCCCGCACAAGCAGUGGAGCAUGUGGUUUAAUUCGAUGCAACGCGAAGAACCUUACCAGGGUUUGAAAGGCAAGAUUAUAGACGAUGAAAGUUGUUUACCCGCAAGGGGUCUUGUACAGGUGCUGCAUGGCUGUCGUCAGCUCGUGCCGUGAGGUGUUAGGUUAAGUCCUGCAACGAGCGCAACCC
RNAcentral lists this ribosomal RNA (755 nucleotides) under uncultured bacterium. RNAcentral describes it as "bacterial SSU rRNA". It matches the Rfam family "Bacterial small subunit ribosomal RNA", at positions 346 to 1104 of the family's 1533-position model. The record is from RNAcentral.